RNAcentral lists this ribosomal RNA (464 nucleotides) under uncultured bacterium. Its description in RNAcentral is "partial 16S ribosomal RNA". It matches the Rfam family "Bacterial small subunit ribosomal RNA", at positions 338 to 795 of the family's 1533-position model. The record is from RNAcentral.
CCUACGGGCGGCAGCAGUAGGGAAUUUUCGUCAAUGGGCGCAAGCCUGAACGAGCAAUGCCGCGUGAACGAGGAAGGUCUUCGGAUCGUAAAGUUCUGUUGAAGGGGAAAAAGAGCGGAGAGAGGAAAUGCUUUCUGAUUGAUAUUACCCUUCGAGGAAGUCACGGCUAACUACGUGCCAGCAGCCGCGGUAAUACGGAGGAUGCGAGCGUUAUCCGGAUUUAGUGGGUUUAAAGGGUGCGUGGGCGGAUUUUUAAGUCAGCGGUAAAAUGUCCGGGCUCAACCCGGGCCGGCCGUUGAAACUGGGGAUCUUGAGUGGGCGAGAAGUAUGCGGAAUGCGUGGUGUAGCGGUGAAAUGCAUAGAUAUCACGCAGAACUCCGAUUGCGAAGGCAGCAUACCGGCGCCCGACUGACGCUGAGGCACGAAAGCGUGGGGAUCGAACAGGAUUAGAUACCCUGGUAGUC